AAAUUUGAUUUGGUUAAAGAGAAAAUUCCCUUAUUUUUUUAUCCAAUUUAUAAACAAAAACAAGUAGAAAAUUUAAUUUUUUAAUAAUUAAUUAUUAUCAAGAAUAAGGGUAAAAUUCUAGCUUAAUUUUG
Molecule: ribosomal RNA, 131 nt
Filed under: Hyalomma truncatum
Lineage: Eukaryota; Metazoa; Arthropoda; Arachnida; Ixodida; Ixodidae
Description: partial 12S ribosomal RNA
Source: RNAcentral